Molecule: non-coding RNA, 448 nt
Organism: Neolamprologus brichardi
Lineage: Eukaryota; Metazoa; Chordata; Actinopteri; Cichliformes; Cichlidae
Source: RefSeq, a predicted model, not a curated record
UCCGUCCUCUAAACUCAGCUUUUUUUCGAAUCUUUCAGUCAAUCUGUCGUCUGCUGCUGAUCUGAGAGUGGAGCCGCAAACCAAACCAUUGAAAAGCAAAACCUUAAACAAGCUGGCAUCCUCAAAUGAAGAGUAUGAAGGAUGGAAAAGCAGGAAACUGAAUUCUCAGGUCUUUGGAUUCAUCACCAGCACUCCAGCGAAGACCAGCCUCUCCAGGAGCUCAAACUUUCAGCCAGUGACCGGACGAGUAGACUGGACCGCCAAAUACAGCAGCCGCCGGUAGCGCAGCAGUCUCUCGGCUUUCCAGCGGAAUCCUGUGAAAGGUUCCCAGAGCAGGAAGUGUGUCUGCCGCUGCUAUAAAAUAUCAUUCAGUGUUGUAUGAGUCAGUCGACACUUUUAUCUUCGUUAUGUUAAAUAACAGGAAGUUUAAUAAAGUGAGUGAAUAUUA